ACCUGGGUGGCUCAGUUGGUUGAGCAUCUGACUUCGGCUCAGGUCAUGAUCUCACAGCUCGUGAAUUCGAGCCCCACGUC
RNAcentral lists this transfer RNA (80 nucleotides) under Felis catus (domestic cat). It matches the Rfam family "tRNA". From Rfam's summary of the family: Transfer RNA (tRNA) molecules are approximately 80 nucleotides in length. Their secondary structure includes four short double-helical elements and three loops (D, anti-codon, and T loops). Further hydrogen bonds mediate the characteristic L-shaped molecular structure. tRNAs have two regions of fundamental functional importance: the anti-codon, which is responsible for specific mRNA codon recognition, and the 3' end, to which the tRNAs corresponding amino acid is attached (by aminoacyl-tRNA synthetases). tRNAs cope with the degeneracy of the genetic code in two manners: having more than one tRNA (with a specific anti-codon) for a particular amino acid; and 'wobble' base-pairing, i.e. permitting non-standard base-pairing at the 3rd anti-codon position. The record is from Rfam by way of RNAcentral. Lineage: Eukaryota; Metazoa; Chordata; Mammalia; Carnivora; Felidae.